CCUACGGGGGGCAGCAGUGAGGAAUAUUGGUCAAUGGGCGCGAGCCUGAGCCAGCCAAGUAGCGUGAAGGAUGACUGCCCUACGGGUUGUAAACUUCUGUUAUAAAGGAAUAAAGUGAGGCACGUGUGCCUUUUUGUAUGUACUUUAUGAAUAAGGAUCGGCUAACUCCGUGCCAGCAGCCGCGGUAAUACGGAGGAUCCGAGCGUUAUCCGGAUUUAUUGGGGUUACAGGGAGCGUAGAGGGGUUGUUAAGUCAGUUGUGAAAGUUUGCGGCUCAACCGGAAAAUUGCAAUUGAUACUGGCAGUCUUGAGUACAGUUGCGGUAGGCGGCAUUCGUGGUGUAGCGGU
This 347-nucleotide ribosomal RNA is filed under the name uncultured bacterium. RNAcentral describes it as "partial 16S ribosomal RNA". It matches the Rfam family "Bacterial small subunit ribosomal RNA", at positions 338 to 682 of the family's 1533-position model. The record is from RNAcentral.